GACAGAGGCCUCGAGCGUUAGGCGGAAUCACUGGGCUUAAAGCGUGUGUAGGCGGAUCGGUAAGUACCUUGUGAAAUCCCACAGCUUAACUGUGGAACUGCUUGGUAUACUGCCAGUCUUGAGCCAGCUAGGGGCUACCGGAACAAAUGGUGGAGCGGUGAAAUGCGUAGAUAUCAUUUGGAACGCCAAUGGUGAAAACAGGUAGCUGGGGCUGUGCUGACGCUGAGACACGAAAGCCAGGGGAGCGAACGGG
Molecule: ribosomal RNA, 253 nt
Filed under: uncultured bacterium
Lineage: Bacteria
Description: partial 16S ribosomal RNA
Rfam family: Bacterial small subunit ribosomal RNA
Source: RNAcentral